GACGAACGCUGGCGGCGUGCUUAACACAUGCAAGUCGAACGGUGAAGCGCCUUCCUUUUUGGUGGGUGUGGAUGAGUGGCGAACGGGUGAGUAACACGUGAGUAACCUGCCCCCUUCUUCUGGAUAACCGCAUGAAAGUGUGGCUAAUACGGGAUAUUCUGGGUCUGUCGCAUGAUGGGUCUGGGAAAGAUAUUGUUUCGGUGGGGGAUGGGCUCGCGGCCUAUCAGCUUGUUGGUGGGGUGAUGGCCUACCAAGGCGGUGACGGGUAGCCGGCCUGAGAGGGUGGACGGUCACACGGGGACUGAGACACGGCCCAGACUCCUACGGGAGGCAGCAGUGGGGAAUAUUGCACAAUGGGCGCAAGCCUGAUGCAGCGACGCCGCGUGAGGGAUGGAGGCCUUCGGGUUGUGAACCUCUUUCGCCAGUGAAGCAGGCCUGCCUCGUUUGUGGGUGGGUUGACGGUAGCUGGAUAAGAAGCGCCGGCCAACUACGUG
RNAcentral lists this ribosomal RNA (494 nucleotides) under uncultured bacterium. RNAcentral's name for it is "partial 16S ribosomal RNA". It matches the Rfam family "Bacterial small subunit ribosomal RNA", at positions 28 to 507 of the family's 1533-position model. The record is from RNAcentral.